Molecule: microRNA precursor, 58 nt
Filed under: Procavia capensis (Cape rock hyrax)
Lineage: Eukaryota; Metazoa; Chordata; Mammalia; Hyracoidea; Procaviidae
Description: miRNA (ENSPCAG00000019216.1)
Source: RNAcentral
UCCCUGCUGCGCCGUCGCCGCCUCCCGACCCGGUCUGCGGAGCAGGCGCCCCGGUGGC